This 447-nucleotide ribosomal RNA is filed under the name uncultured bacterium. RNAcentral's name for it is "partial 16S ribosomal RNA". It matches the Rfam family "Bacterial small subunit ribosomal RNA", at positions 29 to 523 of the family's 1533-position model. The record is from RNAcentral.
AACGAACGCUGGCGACAGGCUUAACACAUGCAAGUCGAACGCCCCGCAAGGGGAGUGGCAGACGGGUGAGUAACGCGUGGGAAUCUACCCAUCUCUGCGGAAUAGCUCUGGGAAACUGGAAUUAAUACCGCAUACGCCCUACGGGGGAAAGAUUUAUCGGGGAUGGAUGAGCCCGCGUUGGAUUAGCUAGUUGGUGGGGUAAAGGCCUACCAAGGCGACGAUCCAUAGCUGGUCUGAGAGGAUGAUCAGCCACAUUGGGACUGAGACACGGCCCAAACUCCUACGGGAGGCAGCAGUGGGGAAUAUUGGACAAUGGGCGCAAGCCUGAUCCAGCCAUGCCGCGUGAGUGAUGAAGGCCUUAGGGUUGUAAAGCUCUUUCACCGAUGAAGAUAAUGACGGUAGUCGGAGAAGAAGCCCCGGCUAACUUCGUGCCAGCAGCCGCAGUAA